UACGGAGGGCGCAAGCGUUGUUCGGAAUUACUGGGCGUAAAGCGCGUGUAGGCGGCCGAGUAAGUCGGAUGUGAAAGCCCGGGGCCCAACCCCGGAACUGCACCCGAUACUGCUCGGCUGGAGUCCCGGAGAGGAUGGCGGAAUUUCCGGUGUAGAGGUGAAAUUCGUAGAUAUCGGAAGGAACACCAGUGGCGAAGGCGGCGAUCUGGGAAGAUACUGACGCUGAGGUGCGAAAGCGUGGGGAGCAAACAGG
RNAcentral lists this ribosomal RNA (253 nucleotides) under uncultured bacterium. RNAcentral's name for it is "partial 16S ribosomal RNA". It matches the Rfam family "Bacterial small subunit ribosomal RNA", at positions 524 to 776 of the family's 1533-position model. The record is from RNAcentral.